RNAcentral lists this ribosomal RNA (414 nucleotides) under uncultured archaeon. Its description in RNAcentral is "bacterial SSU rRNA". It matches the Rfam family "Archaeal small subunit ribosomal RNA", at positions 113 to 526 of the family's 1478-position model. The record is from RNAcentral.
CCUGUAGACCAGUAUAACCUCGGGAAACUGAGGCUAAUGCUGGAUACGACUCUCAGACUGGAGUGUCGAGAGCCAGAAAUGCGUUAGCGCUACAGGAUGCGGCUGCGGCCGAUUAGGUAGACGGUGGGGUAACGGCCCACCGUGCCGAUAAUCGGUACGGGUUGUGAGAGCAAGAGCCCGGAGACGGAAUCUGAGACAAGAUUCCGGGCCCUACGGGGCGCAGCAGGCGCGAAAACUUUACACUGCACGACAGUGCGAUAAGGGGACUCCGAGUGCGAGGGCAUAUAGUCCUCGCUUUUCUGAACCGUAAGGUGGUUCAGGAAUAAGGACUGGGCAAGACCGGUGCCAGCCGCCGCGGUAAUACCGGCAGUCCAAGUGAUGGCCGCUAUUAUUGGGCCUAAAGCGUCCGUAGCU